RNAcentral lists this ribosomal RNA (499 nucleotides) under uncultured archaeon. RNAcentral describes it as "bacterial SSU rRNA". It matches the Rfam family "Archaeal small subunit ribosomal RNA", at positions 93 to 594 of the family's 1478-position model. The record is from RNAcentral.
GUAACACGUAGUCAACAUGCCCAGGGGACGAGGAUAACCUCGGGAAACUGAGGAUAAACCACGAUAGGUCAUGAUUUCUGGAAUGAUUCAUGGCUCAAACCUACAUGGCCCCUGGAUUGGACUGCGGCCGAUCAGGCUGUUGGUGAGGUAAUGGCCCACCAAACCUGUUACCGGUACGGGCUCUGAGAGGAGGAGCCCGGAGAUGGGCACUGAGACAAGGGCCCAGGCCCUAUGGGGCGCAGCAGGCGCGAAACCUCUGCAAUAGGCGAAAGCCUGACAGGGUUACUCUGAGUGAUUUCCGCUAAGGGAAUCUUUUGGCACCUCUAAAAAUGGUGCAGAAUAAGGGGUGGGCAAGUCUGGUGUCAACCGCCGCGGUAAUACCAGCACCCCCAAUGGUCGGGACGAUUAUGGGGCCUAAACCAUCCUAACCGGUCCUACAAUUCCUUCCGUUAAUUCCAGCUUCCUAAACAAAGGGCCGCGGAAAAAUACCAACGGGCCU